UGACUUUGACAUAAUCAAAGAUCAAGUACCUAACCACAAGACAACUAUGAUGCCUCAGGUCAAAGGACUACUUUGCAUUAUCCCAACCAUGAGUUCUCAUGUGACAUGAAUAUGAGAACUCUUUGUUGAUCGUGUUCAGUGAACUCAUUCUUUAUUGAGCACCUACGUACUGUCUUGAUGUCACACACACCAAUGACUCGAAACUAGUCACUCUCCCUGAGAGAAGACACAACACGUAUUGAUCUUAAUGGACUGUCAAUGCCCAAUUGGCAAUCCUAUGAUCAGGAACGUUUAGGAUGUGUCUACGAAAGAAUGGUCUCAUGAAUCUAACUUCUUUAGAUCGUAUUCUUCCAAUCACAUAUUCCUUGGACUUAUCGUUUAAGCGUAUAACAUUUAUAUGAGACGACUCAAACAAUAAUUUUUGCCUUUGAUAUUAAACUAGAUUAGUUUAACAUGUGAAAUGUCCGUAAAGUAUCAUCAUAUGAUUGGUUUUAGGGCACAUUUCCAACAAUCUCCCACUUGCACUAGAGUCAAUCAGCUUGGUCAUCAGUGAUGAUACCUCUUCUGUAGUCAUUUCAUAAAUGGCUGAGUAGUAGGCCUAGACAAUGGAUAUCUAUAUGUUAUCCAUAGAAGCAACCUUGAGAAUAACGACGUCACCAUUAUACAUGAUUCUUAAUCAUGUGGUUUAGUCUCUCAUUUGAGUUCGGAUCUUGAUGAGACCUUGAUUCCCUGGCUUGAGCUAUCGCCCCAUUAGUGUCGUAGUGUCGGUAUACUAGAGACACUUUCUGAUUGGAACCGAAUAGAGAGUUCAUAAAUGAACUUUCCCAUCCAAACAACCUUGUUGUAAGCUUCUAUAUGGCAAUAUAUUUUGCAUUCAUAAUGAAACACACUAAAGUCAUUACUUUUAAUGUUUCCAUCCAAAUAUCUCUUUAGUCAUAAUAAAGAGAUAUCUGAUUAUCUCUUCGUUCAUAAUGAAGAAAUAUCCAAUGAUGGAUUAGAUUCAUAAUCUAAUACAUUUAUGCUUCCAUUACAUUACUCUAAUUCUUCCUCAUUCUUUGAGGAAUCUAUCCUUUAGUAUUUCUUAAAUACUUAAGGACUCACUUGACAGUUGUUGUGGUUCUAAUCCUGGGCUUGCACUGAUAUCGUCUUGUACCUUUCUAGGUACAACUCAUAUCA
This 1176-nucleotide long non-coding RNA is filed under the name Malus domestica (apple). RNAcentral's name for it is "long non-coding RNA (MDOM_LNC010472)". Lineage: Eukaryota; Viridiplantae; Streptophyta; Magnoliopsida; Rosales; Rosaceae. The record is from RNAcentral.